AUGUUCUGGAAGCUUGAGAAAUUGAAGGCGGCGCUAGAGGUGCUUGACAAGUUCAGUGAGUUUGGCUGUACCUCAGACGGUGAUAGCUAUUAUCUGGCGAUUCAAGCGGCUGGAAAGAAGUCCAUGGUUGGUGCUGCAUGGGGAGUUUGUGAGAAGAUGAUUAGCUCUGGGUGCUUUGCUGAUGGGAAGAAGGCCGGUGAGAUUGUGACCUUCUUUUGCAAGGGGAAGAAGGUGACGGAGGCACAUUCAGUAUACCUAGCAGUGAAGGAGAAGAAGGAUUGUCUAAAGAGGGAGAAAUGGAGGAACGCAAAGGAUAUGAUUAGGGUGAUGGAGAGGCGAGGGUUGCGCCCUCAUGUUUAUACAUACAGCAUGAUCAUGAGUGGCUACGCAAAGGGAGGCAUGAUUGAUGAAGCCCAUUAUCACAUACUGAUCUGUGGUUACUGCAAGAUGGAGGAGUUUGAGAAGGCCCCGGAGUGCCUAAAGGAGAUGAAGGAGGAUGGGGUACAGCCAAAUGUAGAUGAGUAUAACAAACUCAUCCAGUCGUUAUGUCUGAAGGCUAUGGACUGGAGAAUAGCUGAGAAGCUCCUGGAGGAAAUGGAGGGCAGUGGACUAUACCUUAAGGGCAUUACCCGCAGCCUCAUAGCAGCAGUCAAGGAAUUGGAAAUGGAAGAGAUGUCAAAAGACAGCCAAGAAGCAUAG
This 699-nucleotide ribosomal RNA is filed under the name Triticum aestivum (bread wheat). Its description in RNAcentral is "partial small subunit ribosomal RNA". Lineage: Eukaryota; Viridiplantae; Streptophyta; Magnoliopsida; Poales; Poaceae. The record is from RNAcentral.